AGCGGUAGCACAGAGAGCUUGCUCUCGGGUGACGAGCGGCGGACGGGUGAGUAAUGUCUGGGAAACUGCCUGAUGGAGGGGGAUAACUACUGGAAACGGUAGCUAAUACCGCAUANNNUCGCAAGACCAAAGUGGGGGACCUUCGGGCCUCAUGCCAUCAGAUGUGCCCAGAUGGGAUUAGCUAGUAGGUGGGGUAACGGCUCACCUAGGCGACGAUCCCUAGCUGGUCUGAGAGGAUGACCAGCCACACUGGAACUGAGACACGGUCCAGACUCCUACGGGAGGCAGCAGUGGGGAAUAUUGCACAAUGGGCGCAAGCCUGAUGCAGCCAUGCCGCGUGUGUGAAGAAGGCCUUCGGGUUGUAAAGCACUUUCAGCGGGGAGGAAGGCGANGAGGUUAAUAACCUUGUCGAUUGACGUUACCCGCAGAAGAAGCACCGGCUAACUCCGUGCCAGCAGCCGCGGUAAUACGGAGGGUGCAAGCGUUAAUCGGAAUUACUGGGCGUAAAGCGCACGCAGGCGGUCUGUCAAGUCGGAUGUGAAAUCCCCGGGCUCAACCUGGGAACUGCAUUCGAAACUGGCAGGCUAGAGUCUUGUAGAGGGGGGUAGAAUUCCAGGUGUAGCGGUGAAAUGCGUAGAGAUCUGGAGGAAUACCGGUGGCGAAGGCGGCCCCCUGGACAAAGACUGACGCUCAGGUGCGAAAGCGUGGGGAGCAAACAGGAUUAGAUACCCUGGUAGUCCACGCCGUAAACGAUGUCGAUUUGGAGGUUGUGCCCUUGAGGCGUGGCUUCCGGAGCUAACGCGUUAAAUCGACCGCCUGGGGAGUACGGCCGCAAGGUUAAAACUCAAAUGAAUUGACGGGGGCCCGCACAAGCGGUGGAGCAUGUGGUUUAAUUCGAUGCAACGCGAAGAACCUUACCUGGUCUUGACAUCCACAGAACUUUCCAGAGAUGGAUUGGUGCCUUCGGGAACUGUGAGACAGGUGCUGCAUGGCUGUCGUCAGCUCGUGUUGUGAAAUGUUGGGUUAAGUCCCGCAACGAGCGCAACCCUUAUCCUUUGUUGCCAGCGGUUAGGCCGGGAACUCAAAGGAGACUGCCAGUGAUAAACUGGAGGAAGGUGGGGAUGACGUCAAGUCAUCAUGGCCCUUACGACCAGGGCUACACACGUGCUACAAUGGCAUAUACAAAGAGAAGCGACCUCGCGAGAGCAAGCGGACCUCAUAAAGUAUGUCGUAGUCCGGAUUGGAGUCUGCAACUCGACUCCAUGAAGUCGGAAUCGCUAGUAAUCGUAGAUCAGAAUGCUACGGUGAAUACGUUCCCGGGCCUUGUACACACCGCCCGUCACACCAUGGGAGUGGGNNNAAAAGAAGUAGGUAG
Molecule: ribosomal RNA, 1375 nt
Filed under: uncultured Klebsiella sp.
Lineage: Bacteria; Pseudomonadati; Pseudomonadota; Gammaproteobacteria; Enterobacterales; Enterobacteriaceae
Description: bacterial SSU rRNA
Rfam family: Bacterial small subunit ribosomal RNA
Source: RNAcentral